This is a long non-coding RNA of Corapipo altera (White-ruffed manakin), 97 nucleotides long. RefSeq lists it as uncharacterized. The record is from RefSeq and is a predicted model, not a curated record. Lineage: Eukaryota; Metazoa; Chordata; Aves; Passeriformes; Pipridae. The transcript is spliced from 3 exons.
UAGACUGAGAAGAUAUUUUUUCACUGUUGUAGACAAACAUACUAAAUAUAUUGGAAAGUAAGUAAAUUAACUUUUAAGUAAUUAACUUUUCCUUUCC